RNAcentral lists this ribosomal RNA (465 nucleotides) under Bacillus licheniformis. RNAcentral describes it as "bacterial SSU rRNA". It matches the Rfam family "Bacterial small subunit ribosomal RNA", at positions 338 to 795 of the family's 1533-position model. The record is from RNAcentral. Lineage: Bacteria; Bacillati; Bacillota; Bacilli; Caryophanales; Bacillaceae.
CCUACGGGAGGCAGCAGUAGGGAAUCUUCCGCAAUGGACGAAAGUCUGACGGAGCAACGCCGCGUGAGUGAUGAAGGUUUUCGGAUCGUAAAACUCUGUUGUUAGGGAAGACAAGUACCGUUCGAACAGGGCGGUGCCUUGACGGUACCUAACCAGAAAGCCACGGCUAACUACGUGCCAGCAGCCGCGGUAAUACGUAGGUGGCAAGCGUUGUCCGGAAUUAUUGGGCGUAAAGCGCGCGCAGGCGGUUUCUUAAGUCUGAUGUGAAAGCCCCCGGCUCAACCGGGGAGGGUCAUUGGAAACUGGGGAACUUGAGUGCAGAAGAGGAGAGUGGAAUUCCACGUGUAGCGGUGAAAUGCGUAGAGAUGUGGAGGAACACCAGUGGCGAAGGCGACUCUCUGGUCUGUAACUGACGCUGAGGCGCGAAAGCGUGGGGAGCGAACAGGAUUAGAUACCCUGGUAGUC